UACGAAGGGGGCUAGCGUUGCUCGGAAUCACUGGGCGUAAAGGGUGCGUAGGCGGGUCUUUAAGUCAGGGGUGAAAACCUGGAGCUCAACUCCAGAACUGCCUUUGAUACUGAAGAUCUUGAGUCCGGGAGAGGUGAGUGGAACUGCGAGUGUAGAGGUGAAAUUCGUAGAUAUUCGCAAGAACACCAGUGGCGAAGGCGGCUCACUGGCCCGGUACUGACGCUGAGGUGCGAAAGCGUGGGGAGCAAACAGG
Molecule: ribosomal RNA, 253 nt
Filed under: uncultured bacterium
Lineage: Bacteria
Description: partial 16S ribosomal RNA
Rfam family: Bacterial small subunit ribosomal RNA
Source: RNAcentral